GGGGAUAUAGCUCAGUUGGUAGAGUGCUUGUCUUGCUAUGCGUAAGGCUCUGGGUUCAAUUCCCAGCACCACCA
This is a non-coding RNA of Ictidomys tridecemlineatus (thirteen-lined ground squirrel), 74 nucleotides long. The record is from Rfam. NCBI's taxonomy places the organism in Eukaryota, Metazoa, Chordata, Mammalia, Rodentia, Sciuridae.